Molecule: non-coding RNA, 132 nt
Organism: Pelobates cultripes (western spadefoot toad)
Lineage: Eukaryota; Metazoa; Chordata; Amphibia; Anura; Pelobatidae
Source: the annotation of a GenBank genome assembly
UGUCAGCUCCCUUUUCUCUCCUCCGUUCCGGUCAGCUUCCCUGUCAGCUCCACUGUAAACCUCGCAGCCCCAAGACUGACAGUGGAGGAGAAGGGAGCUGACCGGACCGGAGGAGAGAGAAGGGAGCUGACA